This 460-nucleotide ribosomal RNA is filed under the name uncultured bacterium. RNAcentral's name for it is "partial 16S ribosomal RNA". It matches the Rfam family "Bacterial small subunit ribosomal RNA", at positions 338 to 795 of the family's 1533-position model. The record is from RNAcentral.
CCUACGGGGGGCAGCAGUGAGGAAUAUUGGUCAAUGGGCGCGAGCCUGAACCAGCCAAGUAGCGUGAAGGAUGACUGCCCUACGGGUUGUAAACUUCUUUUAUAAAGGAAUAAAGUGAGGCACGUGUGCCUUUUUGUAUGUACUUUAUGAAUAAGGAUCGGCUAACUCCGUGCCAGCAGCCGCGGUAAUACGGAGGAUCCGAGCGUUAUCCGGAUUUAUUGGGUUUAAAGGGAGCGUAGAUGGGUUUUUAAGUCAGUUGUGAAAGUUUGCGGCUCAACCGUAAAAUUGCAAUUGAUACUGGCAGCCUUACGUACAGUUGAGGUAGGCGGAAUUCGUGGUGUAGCGGUGAAAUGCUUAGAUAUCACGAAGAAUGCCGAUUGCGAAGGCAGCCUACUAACCUGCCACUGACAUUGAUGCUCGAAAGUGUGGGUAUCAAACAGGAUUAGAUCCCCGAGUAGUC